RNAcentral lists this ribosomal RNA (393 nucleotides) under Epopella plicata. RNAcentral describes it as "partial 12S ribosomal RNA". The record is from RNAcentral. Lineage: Eukaryota; Metazoa; Arthropoda; Thecostraca; Balanomorpha; Austrobalanidae.
UAGGGACCAGGAUUAGAUACCCUGUUACUUUUAACUAAAAGAUUUUGGAAUAAUAGUAUUAAUGAAAUUUAACGGAUUUGGCGGCAAGAUAGCCCCUUAGAGGAACCUGCCCUGUAAACGAUGAACCACGAGGGACUCUACUUUUUUUGGUAAUUCAGUUUGUAUAUCGCUGUUGUCAGUUAGAUUCUUGAGAAUAUUUUCGAACAUGAUAAAGUCAUUGACUUCAAGUAAAGGUGCAGCUUAUAGAAAAGAUAGAGGUGGGUUACAUUUAUAAGAUUAAAACGGAUAAGAUAAAUGAAAUAUUCUUUGAAGGUGGAUUUAACUGUAAAACUUAAAUAAGUUUGGUGAGAGCUCUAUCUUGUGUACACACCGCCCGUCGCUCUCUUUUUUAAA